GAUAAUUGGUUAAAAAUGCUUAAGUGUUAUAUUUAUGAAGAUGGAUUAUGUCUUGUGUUAAUAAAGGGUGAAAUCAAUUUUUUAUUAUAUAAGCAAUUCUUUUUAUGUAAAUAAAGCUGAGGUUAUUAAGAUUAAGGUAUGGACCAGGAUUAGAGACCCUGUUACACUUUUUUAUAAACACUAAUACCUAGGUAGUAAACAGUUAUAAUCUUGAAACUUAAAGGAUUUGGCGGUAACUUAGUCUAGUUAGAGGAACCUGUCCUGUAAUCGAUAAACCACGAAGAAUCUUACUUUAUUUUGAAAUAUUCAGUUUAUAUACCGUCAUUAUUAGAUAACUUUAGUAAAAUGUAGAAGUUAUUGAGGUAGUUUAAAGAGCUAGUAUAUUAGAUCAAGGUGUAGCUAAUGAUAAAGUAGAGAUGGGUUACAAUAAUAUUAGUUUAUGAAACGGAUUUAAAAGAGAAUAAUUUUAGUGAAGGAGGAUUUAAAUGUAAAUAUAUUUUAAUAUGAUAUUUUGAUUGUAGCUCUAGGUUAUGUACACAUCGCCCGUCGCUCU
RNAcentral lists this ribosomal RNA (553 nucleotides) under Megokris pescadoreensis. RNAcentral's name for it is "partial 12S ribosomal RNA". The stretch from base 190 to 553 matches the Rfam family "Microsporidia small subunit ribosomal RNA", at positions 752 to 1205 of the family's 1311-position model. The record is from RNAcentral. Lineage: Eukaryota; Metazoa; Arthropoda; Malacostraca; Decapoda; Penaeidae.